GCUAAAUAAUUUCUGCUCAGCCAUGUCGCCGGCUCCAGAUGCAGCCCCGGCUCCUGCGUCGAUCUCCCUGUUUGACCUCAGCGCGGAUGCUCCGGUGUUUCAGGGCCUGAGCCUGGCUCAGGGGAGAGAGAAAGCCCAGAAAGAAAGCUACUCCAGGGUCCUAUGGAUAUUUCAGAGAAGUUAUUUUGUUCAACUUGUGACCAGACCUUCCAGAACCACCAAGAACAGAGGGAACAUUAUAAGCUUGACUGGCAUCGGUUUAACCUAAAGCAACGUCUCAAGGACAAGCCUCUCCUGUCUGCCCUGGACUUUGAAAAGCAGAGUUCCACAGGAGAUCUUUCCAGCAUCUCGGGAUCAGAAGACUCAGACUCAGCCAGUGAGGAGGACUUGCAGACACUGGAUCGGGAGAGGGCUACAUUUGAGAAGUUGAGCCGACCCCCAGGCUUUUACCCUCAUCGAGUUCUUUUCCAGAAUGCCCAGGGCCAGUUUCUUUAUGCCUACCGCUGUGUCCUAGGCCCUCAUCAGGCAAGUGACAGUACAGGUUGCAUGGCUAACCCCAGCCUUUUGUACACCCAGCCUAGAUUUCCCUUAGCCUAGUGCAUUUCUCCCUGCUUCUCUUCCUU
Molecule: small RNA, 623 nt
Filed under: Pan troglodytes (chimpanzee)
Lineage: Eukaryota; Metazoa; Chordata; Mammalia; Primates; Hominidae
Description: retained intron
Source: RNAcentral